AAUAUAAAAAAAAAUAAUUAAAGCAUUAAGUGGAUGCCUUGGCAUUAAUUUUAAUUUUAGGACGUAAAAAAUGCGAAAAGCUAUAUUUAAUUAUAUUUUAUUUUGAAAUAUAGAUUUCCUAAAGAAAACUUUUUUUUUGUAAAAAUUUAAAAAACAGUGAAUUGAAAUAUCUAAGUAACUGUGUAAAAAAUCAAACGAGAUUCUGUGAGUAAUGACGAAUGAAAAUGGAAAUUAGGUUUAUAAAUUUAAAAAAUUAUUUAAAAAAUUUUAAAAAAUUUACUUAAUAAGGUAAAAGUCCUGUAGAAUAAUUUUAAUUUAUAUUAUAGUAAAAAGAGGUAUGUGUAAUCUUUUUUGAAAAUUGGGGGACCACCCUCAAAACCUAUAAAGAAUUAAUGAUCGAUAGCGAACAAGUACUGUAAAGGAAAGGUGAAAAAGAACUUUUGAGUUUGAAAUAAUUCUGAAACUUUAUGUUAAUAAUCAAUUGAAAUUUUUAGAAAAAAUAACAGUGUACCUUUUGCAUAAUGGGCUAGCAAGUUUAUUUUUAUAGCAAGCUUAAUUUAAUAAAGUAGGCGUAGAUAAUUCAAGUUUUAAAAAGCUAAAAUAGUUAUAAAAAUAAGACCCGAAACCGAGUGAUCUAACCAUGAACAGAUUGAAAAAUAGGUAAAACUAUUUGGAGGAUCGAACUCACAUAUGUGGCAAAAUAUGGAGAUGAUUUGUGGUUAGGAGUGAAAGGCUAAUCAAACUCGGAGAUAGCUGGUUUUCCGCGAAAUCUAUUGAAGUAGAGCAUUUAAAAUCUUUUUUUGGGGUAGAGCACUCAUUGAGCUAGGGGGCGUAAAAACUUACUGAAUUCUUAGAAACUCCGAAUACAAAAAAAUGAAAUUUAAAUAGACAGACAUUAGGCGCUAAGGUCUAUUGUCAAGAGGGAAACAGCCCAGAUUGAUCGCUAAGGUCUCUAAAUAAUAUUCUAAGUGAAAAAGGAAGUGAAAAAAUAAUAACAACCAGUAGGUAGGCUUGGAAGCAGCCAUCCUUUAAAGAAAGCGUAAUAGCUCAUUGGUCUAGUUUUUUUGCGCCUAAAAUGUAUCGAGACUUAAGAAAUUUACCGAAGCGGCAAGUUUUAUCUUUAUAAUAAAACGGUAGCGGAACAUUCUGUAUGUUAAUAAAGAUAUAUUGUGAAAUAUGUUGAAAAUAUCAGAAAAGAAAAUGCUAGCAUUAGUAACAAAAAAUAAUGACUAAUAAUCAUUAUCACCGUAAAUCCAAGGGUUUCUAUGUUAAAAUGUUUUUCAUAGAGUGAAACGGCCCCUAAGAAAGAUUUGACGAAAGCAAAUUUUGAUGGGAUAAUUUUUAAAUUAAAUUUUUUAAAAAAAGUGACAAAAAUUUUUAAUUUUUCAGGAAAUAACUUUUUUAAAUAAUAAACCGUACCCGAAACCGACACAGGUGGAUAGGUCGAGUAGACUAAGGUGAAUGAGAGAACUAUAUUGAAGGAACUCGGCAAAAUGACUUUGUAACUUCGGGAUAAAAAGUACCUAAUUAAUUUUUUUUUGAUUAGGUGUCACAAAAUAGGGGGUUGCGACUGUUUAAUAAAAACUUAGGACUCUGCUAAAUGGUAACAUGAUGUAUAGGGUCUGACACCUGCCCGGUGCUGGAAGAUUAAUAGGAGAUGUUUACGCAUUAAAUGGAAGUCCCAGUAAACGGCGGCCGUAACUCUGACGGUCCUAAGGUAGCGAAAUUCCUUGUCGGGUAAGUUCCGACCUGCAUGAAUGGUGUAACGACAUCCCCGCUGUCUCCAAUAUAGACUCAGUGAAUUUGAAUUAUCCGUGAAGAUGCGGAUUUUCUAUAGUUAGACGGAAAGACCCCGUGAACCUUUACUACAUCUUUAUAUUGUUAUUUUAUCUAAUAUGUGUAGCAUAAGUGGGAAUUGUUUAAAUCUUUACGCUAGUAAAUUGUUUAGAUAACCUUGAAAUACCACUCUUAUUAAAAUAAAUAACUAAUAUUAAAAAAAAAUAGACAGUGUAUGGUUGGUAGUUUGACUGGGGCGGUCACCUCCUAAAGAGUAACGGAGGUGUACAAAGGUAAGCUCAAAUUGGAAUAUAGUAUCAAUUGUAGAGCGUAAUGGUAAAAGCUUGCUUGACUGUAAGAUAGACAUAUCAAACAGGGACGAAAGUCGGUCAUAGUGAUCCGAUAAUUCUUUGUGGAAAGAUUAUCGCUCAACGGAUAAAAGGUACUCCGGGGAUAACAGGCUGAUGACUCCUAAGAGCUCCUAUCGACGGAGUCGUUUGGCACCUCGAUGUCGACUCAUCACAUCCUGGAGCUGAAGAAGGUUCCAAGGGUUCGGCUGUUCGCCGAUUAAAGUGGUACGUGAGUUGGGUUUAGAACGUCGUGAGACAGUUUGGUUCCUAUCUUCUAUAGAUAUUUUGAAAAAUGAAAGAAUCUAACUCUAGUACGAGAGGACCGAGAAGGGUAAAUCUCUGGUGUAUCGGUUGUUUAAAAUAUUAUAAUUUUUUUAUAAUUAAUAAGGCAUCGCCGAGUAGCUAAAUUUAUUUUGGAUAAUUACUGAAAGCAUCUAAGUAAGAAACCAUUCUUAAAAAUUUUUCAUAUAAAAACUGUAAAAGAUUAUUACAUAAAUAGGUUUGAAGUGUACGUAUUGUAAGAUAUUUAGCUUAAAAAUACUAAAAGUUUUAAUAAAAAUUUAAAUAU
RNAcentral lists this ribosomal RNA (2694 nucleotides) under Phytophthora sp. ML-2023a. RNAcentral's name for it is "large subunit ribosomal RNA". It matches the Rfam family "Bacterial large subunit ribosomal RNA". Lineage: Eukaryota; Oomycota; Peronosporomycetes; Peronosporales; Peronosporaceae. The record is from RNAcentral.